Molecule: ribosomal RNA, 253 nt
Filed under: uncultured bacterium
Lineage: Bacteria
Description: partial 16S ribosomal RNA
Rfam family: Bacterial small subunit ribosomal RNA
Source: RNAcentral
UACGGAGGGGGCUAGCGUUGUUCGGAUUCAUUGGGCGUAAAGGGUGCGUAGGUGGUGCCGUAAGUUGGAUGUGAAAUCUCAGGGCUUAACCCUGAAACUGCAUUCAAUACUGCGGUGCUGGAGUACUGGAGAGGAGAUUGGAAUUCACGGUGUAGCAGUGAAAUGCGUAGAUAUCGUGAGGAAGACCAGUGGCGAAGGCGGAUCUCUGGACAGUUACUGACACUGAGGCACGAAGGCCAGGGGAGCAAACGGG